Molecule: ribosomal RNA, 253 nt
Filed under: uncultured bacterium
Lineage: Bacteria
Description: partial 16S ribosomal RNA
Rfam family: Bacterial small subunit ribosomal RNA
Source: RNAcentral
UACGGAGGAUCCAAGCGUUAUCCGGAUUUAUUGGGUUUAAAGGGUGCGUAGGCGGUUUUAUAAGUUAGAGGUGAAAAUUCGGGGCUCAACUCCGGACGUGCCUCUAAUACUGUAUGACUAGAGAAUAGAUGCGGUAGGCGGAAUGUAUGGUGUAGCGGUGAAAUGCGUAGAGAUUAUACAGAACACCGAUUGCGAAGGCAACUUACCAAACUAUAUCUGACGUUGAGGCACGAAAGCGUGGGGAGCAAACAGG